AAAUGCACAACCGAGAUUAAAGUAAGAUAGUGAUAUAUACU
This 41-nucleotide non-coding RNA is filed under the name Trypanosoma brucei brucei. Lineage: Eukaryota; Euglenozoa; Kinetoplastea; Trypanosomatida; Trypanosomatidae. The record is from RNAcentral.